UCUCUUAAGUAAGGGCAUAGUCAAUUAUAUAAAAACAUAAAAACAUAAUAAAUUCAUCUUUUGAACAUAUUGUUAGAAUACAGCCAUGUAGAGAAGUGCCUAAUUCUUAAAGUGACCAUGCUUAUUUCAUGAACAAAGUGCAUAUUAAAAAAAAAAACAGUGUAUUUUUAAAAAACAGUGAGUUUUAGAAAAAAAGUGAAUUUUAGAAAGACAAUAAAUAUCUCUUAAAGUGACCAUGCAGUUAUUGUCAUAGUGAAUAUGCAGGUGAUUAAUUUUAUCGAAUAAUUACUUUUGGUUUAAAGAUUCUUUUUUUUUACAAAUCACAGGUACGGCGAUGGGUACUAAGUUCGCUCCAAGCUAUGCAAAUUUGUUCAUGGCAUAUUGGGAAGAAAUAAUAGUCACCCACAAUGCACAAUUUGCGAACUUAGUAUCCUAUCGCCGUUAUAUUGACGAUAUUUUUUUUAUAUGGAAAGAUAGUGAAAUACAACUCAUCAAGUUUUUGGAGGAUUUAAAUCAAAAUGAGUGGGGAAUUUUUUUAACGUCUACGUACAGUAAAAAUCAAAUUAAUUUUUUAGACUUAGAUAUUUUUUUAGCAGAAUCUCAACUACAUACAAAAAAUCAUUUUAAAGAAGUAGACGCAAACAGUUAUAUUGACAAAAAUAGUUGUCACCAUACCCCUUGGUUAGAUAAUGCCCCUAAGAGCCAGUUUUUAAGAAUACGACGUAAUUGCACCCAAGACAAAGACUACACAACACAGGCCGAAAUAAUCAGAGAACAAUUUGUAGAAAAAGGAUACAAUCCAAUAGAGUUAACAACCUGUAUGGAAGAGGUCAAAUUAAUAAAGAGAAAGGAUCUGAUUAGAUAUAAAGGGAACACAAAAAAGAAAAGAGACCUGAAAAAAACUGGUCAAUUAAAAAUUCCCUUUAUAUGUAAUCACAGUGGAA
Non-coding RNA from Pelobates cultripes (western spadefoot toad), 944 nucleotides. Lineage: Eukaryota; Metazoa; Chordata; Amphibia; Anura; Pelobatidae. The record is from the annotation of a GenBank genome assembly.